This 454-nucleotide ribosomal RNA is filed under the name uncultured bacterium. RNAcentral describes it as "bacterial SSU rRNA". It matches the Rfam family "Bacterial small subunit ribosomal RNA", at positions 923 to 1379 of the family's 1533-position model. The record is from RNAcentral.
GCACAAGCGGUGGAGCAUGUGGUUUAAUUCGACGCAACGCGCAGAACCUUACCAGGGUUUGACAUCCUGAGACCGCCUCUUAAUAGGGGUUUUCCCGCAAGGGACUCAGAGACAGGUGCUGCAUGGCUGUCGUCAGCUCGUGUCGUGAGAUGUUGGGUUAAGUCCCGCAACGAGCGCAACCCUCGCCUUUAGUUGCCAUCAUUCAGUUGGGCACUCUAGAGGGACCGCCGGCGACAAGCCGGAGGAAGGUGGGGAUGACGUCAAGUCCUCAUGGCCCUUACACCCUGGGCUACACACGUGCUACAAUGGCGGUGACAGUGGGCAGCUACUUCGCGAGAAGCGGCUAAUCCCAAAAAACCGUCCCAGUUCAGAUUGUACUCUGCAACUCGAGUACAUGAAGGUGGAAUCGCUAGUAAUCGCAGAACAGCAGGCUGCGGUGAAUACGUUCCCGGGC